GCAAACUUGGUCAUUUAGAGGAAGUAAAAGUCGUAACAAGGUUUCCGUAGGUGAACCUGCGGAAGGAUCAUUAACAAGCCGUGGGGGUCAACCUCCAAAAGAGGAUUGAUCUCACACCUGGCCACCCUUGUUUACCUUAACCUGUUGCUUUGGUGGGCCUGCCGUAAGGCUGCCGGGAAGCUUUUAAAAGUUUUCGGGCUAGUGCUCACCAAAGUCUUAUCGAACUCUGAGAUGAUAUUUAGUUGCAGUCUGAGUAUGCAAGUGCAAAAAUUUGUUUAAAACUUUCAACAACGGAUCUCUUGGUUCUGGCAUCGAUGAAGAACGCAGC
Molecule: unclassified non-coding RNA, 328 nt
Filed under: uncultured fungus
Lineage: Eukaryota; Fungi
Description: partial contains small subunit ribosomal RNA, internal transcribed spacer 1, and 5.8S ribosomal RNA
Rfam family: Eukaryotic small subunit ribosomal RNA (bases 1-73)
Source: RNAcentral